Molecule: transfer RNA, 72 nt
Filed under: Pseudopedinella elastica
Lineage: Eukaryota; Dictyochophyceae; Pedinellales
Description: tRNA-Gly
Rfam family: tRNA
About the family: Transfer RNA (tRNA) molecules are approximately 80 nucleotides in length. Their secondary structure includes four short double-helical elements and three loops (D, anti-codon, and T loops).
Source: RNAcentral
GCGGGUGUAGCUCAGUGGUAGAGCGCGACCUUGCCAAGGUCGAUGUCGCGCGUUCGAUCCGCGUCACCCGCU